RNAcentral lists this ribosomal RNA (253 nucleotides) under uncultured bacterium. RNAcentral describes it as "partial 16S ribosomal RNA". It matches the Rfam family "Bacterial small subunit ribosomal RNA", at positions 524 to 776 of the family's 1533-position model. The record is from RNAcentral.
UACGUAUGGUGCAAGCGUUAUCCGGAUUUACUGGGUGUAAAGGGAGCGCAGGCGGCACGGCAAGCCUGAUGUGAAAGCCCGCGGCCCAACCGCGGGACUGCAUUGGGAACUACCGGGCUGGAGUGCCGGAGAGGUAGGCGGAAUUCCUAGUGUAGCGGUGAAAUGCGUAGAUAUUAGGAGGAACACCAGCGGCGAAGGCGGCCUACUGGACGGUGACUGACGCUGAGGCUCGAAAGCGUGGGGAGCAAACAGG